Molecule: ribosomal RNA, 791 nt
Filed under: uncultured bacterium
Lineage: Bacteria
Description: bacterial SSU rRNA
Rfam family: Bacterial small subunit ribosomal RNA
Source: RNAcentral
GAAUUCGCCCUUAGAGUUUGAUCCUGGCUCAGGAUGACCUCUGACAGAAUGCUUAACACAUGCAAGUCGAUUCGAUUUACCUUCGGGUAUUGAGGAUGGCGGACGGGUGUUUAACGCGUAAGGAACUUGCCUCUUGGUCUGGGACAACUGUUGGAAACGACAGCUAAUACCGGAUAUUAUGAGAUUCUCGCAUGGGAAACUUAUGAAAGCUAUAUGCGCCAAGAGAGAGCCUUGCGUUCCAUUAGCUAGUUGGUGGGGUAACGGCCCACCAAGGCGACGAUGGAUAGCCGGCCUGAGAGGGUGAACGGCCACAAGGGGACUGAGACACGGCCCUUACUCCUACGGGAGGCAGCAGUGGGGAAUAUUGGACAAUGGACCAAAAGUCUGAUCCAGCAAUUCUGUGUGCACGAUGAAGGUCUUCGGAUUGUAAAGUGCUUUCAGUUGGGAAGAAGCAAGUGACGGUACCAACAGAAGAAGCGACGGCUAAAUACGUGCCAGCAGCCGCGGUAAUACGUAUGUCGCAAGCGUUAUCCGGAUUUAUUGGGCGUAAAGCGCGUCUAGGCGGAAAAAUAAGUCUGAUGUUAAAAUGCGGGGCUCAACUCCGUAUUGCGUUGGAAACUGUUUUUCUAGAGUACUGGAGAGGUGGGCGGAACUACAAGUGUAGAGGUGAAAUUCGUAGAUAUUUGUAGGAAUGCCGAUGGAGAAGUCAGCUCACUGGACAGAUACUGACGCUAAAGCGCGAAAGCGUGGGGAGCAAACAGGAUUAGAUACCCUGGUAGUCCACGCCGUAA